Molecule: ribosomal RNA, 454 nt
Filed under: Zele deceptor
Lineage: Eukaryota; Metazoa; Arthropoda; Insecta; Hymenoptera; Braconidae
Description: eukaryotic LSU rRNA
Source: RNAcentral
GAAACCCAAAAGAUCGAAUGGGGAGAUUCAUCGUCAACGCAUUUGGUAUAUGUGCGAGUUGCGAUACGAAUUAUCCUUGUGAUAAUGCUUGUACGUGCUUGUUCAUUUUAUUGCUAGAUGUUGUCGGCGUGCACUUCUCCCCUAGUAGGACGUCGCGACCCGUUGGGUGUCGUUCUACGGCCCGGAUGGUAGUCUUUGAUUUUUCUAAAUUAAAGACCACCGGUGACCUGAUCGGCUGCCCGGCGGUAUUCGCACGGUAAUGAGCCGCAUUUUAUUUUGCGUCAAGCCCGUCGCAAGCGCGGUUAGUAUUCUGGUAGUGCGGACUCAAUGCCGUCACUGGGGCUGACCAGCUGUUGGUUGUACGGUGUUCUUUGACUGGCUCAAAUAUUAAUUACCGGUCGGCGACGCUACUGCUUUGGGUACUUUCAGGACCCGUCUUGAAACACGGACCAAA